Phacochoerus africanus (Common warthog) is the source of this 4301-nucleotide RNA transcript. It is a transcript of the gene named cysteinyl-tRNA synthetase 1, with no coding region annotated. The record is from RefSeq and is a predicted model, not a curated record. Lineage: Eukaryota; Metazoa; Chordata; Mammalia; Artiodactyla; Suidae. The transcript has 26 exons.
GGCGGGACUUCCGGGGCGGUGGUUGCAUCAGAUUCUGGGAAGCUGUCGCCGCGGCAGCGGGUGAGGGAUACCCACGAUGGCAGGUUCUACAGAGGAUCAGGCUCCCGACUACAGGUCCAUCCUGAGCAUUAGUGACGAGGCGGCCAGGGUGCGGGCCCUGGACCAGCACCUCAGCACGCGUAGCUAUGUCCAGGGGUUCUCACUGUCCCAGGCAGACGUGGACGCGUUCAGGCAGCUCUCGGGCCCUCCCGCCGACGCGCAGCUCUUCCACGUGGCUCGGUGGUUCAGACACGUGGACGCCAUCCUGGGCGGCCCCCAAGCCACCGGCUCACCCUGUGGGCCCCCAGCAAGUAGAGGCCGGCGCGCACAGCCGCAGUGGGCUCCUCCGGCCGGGCCCGAGCCGUGCCAGCUCCGCCUGUACAACAGCCUGACCCGGAGUAAGGACGUGUUUGUACCUCAAGACGGGAAAAGGGUGACGUGGUACUGCUGUGGGCCCACCGUCUACGACGCCUCUCACAUGGGACACGCCAGGUCCUACAUCUCCUUCGACAUCCUGAGGAGGGUGCUCAGGGAUUACUUCAACUUCGACGUCUUUUACUGCAUGAACAUCACGGACGUCGAUGACAAGAUCAUCAGGCGGGCCCGGCAGAACUACUUGUUCGAGCGGUACCGGGAGAAGCAGCCCUCGGCAGCCCAGCUCCUGGAGGACGUGCAUGCCGCCCUGCAGCCGUUUGCAGCAAAGUUAAAGGAGACCACGGAUCCUGACAAGAAGCAGAUGCUGGAGCGCCUGGAGCGCGCGGUGACGCGGGCCGCCGAGCCGCUGGAGGAGGCCGUGCGGGCCAGCCUGGCGGGGGAGGAGCUGGACGGCCGCGUGCAGGUGUUGUUGGCAGAAGCAAAGGACCUACUUUCCGACUGGCUGGAUUCCACCCAUGGCAGCGAAGUGACUGACAAUUCCAUCUUCUCGCAGCUGCCCAAGUUCUGGGAGGCGGAAUUCCACAAGGACAUGGAGGCCCUGAACGUCCUCCCACCAGACGUCUUAACCCGCGUUAGUGAGUACGUGCCCGAGAUCGUGGACUUUGUCCAGAAGAUCAUGGACAAUGGUUACGGCUACGCUUCCAACGGGUCCGUCUACUUCGACACGGUGAAGUUUGCUAACAGCGAGGGACACUGCUACGGGAAGCUGGUGCCGGAGGCUGUCGGGGACCAGAGAGCCCUGCAGGAGGGCGAGGGCGACCUGAGCAUCUCGGCCGAGCGCCUGAGCGAGAAGCGGUCCCCCAACGACUUCGCCCUCUGGAAGGCGUCCAAGCCGGGGGAGCCAUCCUGGCCAUGCCCCUGGGGAAGGGGGCGUCCGGGAUGGCACAUUGAGUGCUCAGCCAUGGCAGGCACCCUCCUGGGAGCCUCGAUGGACAUCCACGGAGGGGGCUUCGACCUCCGCUUCCCCCACCACGACAACGAGCUGGCGCAGUCGGAGGCCUACUUUGAAAACGACUGCUGGGUCAGGUACUUCCUGCACACGGGCCACCUGACCAUCGCGGGCUGCAAGAUGUCCAAGUCGCUCAAAAACUUCAUCACCAUCAAAGACGCCCUGAAGAAGCACUCGGCGCGGCAGCUGCGCCUGGCCUUCCUCAUGCACGCGUGGAAGGACACGCUGGAUUACUCGAGCAACACCAUGGAGUCGGCGCUGCAGUACGAGCGGUUCCUGAACGAGUUUUUCUUAAAUGUGAAAGACCUCCUGCGAGCGCCCGGGGACGUCACUGGCCAGUUUGAGAAGUGGGAGGGGGAGGAGACCGAGCUGAACAAGUGCUUUUAUGACAAGAAGGCCGCGGUUCACGAAGCGCUCUGUGAUAACGUGGACACGCGCACCGCCUUGGAGGAGAUGCGGGCUCUGGUCAGCCAGUGCAACCUCUACACGGCGGCCCGGAAGGCCGCGAGAAGGAGGCCCAACCGGGCCCUGCUGGCGAGUGUCGCCAACUACCUCACCCACAUGCUGAAGAUCUUCGGGGCCAUAGAAGAGGAGAGCCCCCUGGGCUUCCCUGUCGGAGCACCUGGGACCAGCCUCAGCCUCGAGUCCACGGUCAUGCCGUACCUCCAGGUGUUGUCGGAGUUCCGGGAAGGAGUGCGAAGCAUCGCCCGGGAACGCAGAGUCCCCGAGGUCCUGCAGCUCAGUGACGCCCUGCGGGACGACAUCCUGCCUGAGCUGGGGGUGCGGCUGGAGGACCACGAAGGACUGCCCACUGUGGUCAAGCUGGUGGACAGAGACACCUUACUGCGGGAGCGAGAAGAGAAGAAAAGGAUUUUAAGGAAAGAUCGGUCGCUUUUGGUAAACUGCGAGGCUGACAGGUGCGGCGUGGUCAUGCGCUGCCCUCCCGUUGAGGAGGAGAAGAGGAGGAAGAAAGAGGAGGCCGCCAGGAAGAGACGAGAGCAGGAAGAGGCGAAACUGGCCAAGAUGAAGGUUCCGCCCGGUGAGAUGUUCUUGUCUGAAAGUGACAAGUAUUCCAAGUUCGACGAAAACGGCCUGCCCACACACGACGCGGAGGGCAAAGAGCUCAGCAAAGGGCAGGCCAAGAAGCUGAAGAAGCUCUUCGAGGCGCAGGAGAAGCUGCACAAGGAGUACCUGCAGCUGGUUCAGAACGGGGGCUUCCCGUGAGGGCGCCAGCCGCUGCCCGGGCGCCCGUCGUCUUUACGGCGUCCUCGGGGCUGCGCUGAGGAUCCUGUGUCCAGAGAGGUCCGGGCCACCUUCGGCUCUGAAACGUCCUGAGGCUUAUGGUGGAGGCUUCACACACAAGGCCCCAGGUGCUGGGAGCCGGUUUUCCAAGCGGAUGUGUUCGGGCAGGGAGCCCACCGCGGAAGGCCUCGCAGCAUCCUGAUGUGGGGUCUCAGUUACCAGACCAGGGACUACACCUGGGCCGCAGCAGUGAAAAACCCAAACCCUAACUACCAGGCCACCAGGAAGUUCACACAUUUUCACUGCGCAAAAUGUUUUUCUAACGUUCCAUGCAUGGAGCCAUGUUCCCUGGAACCACAGAACGUUGGCACUAAAAGGUGCCUGAAAGAUGGCGCAUCUCCGUCAGCAGAUGAGGAAGCCGAGGUCCGGGAAGGUCAGUGUCUUCCUCAAGGUCAUAAACCCAGGGUAGGAAAACUGCAGAGAGCGGACGAUCCACAAGGAUCGAUGGGCCCGGUGUUGGCCGUGGGCUGAAAGCUGCCCUGAGAAGGACCUCACGUCCCGCACGAUGCCCAACGUAGACCCAGCGUCCCCACGACAGUCCGGGAGAACGUCCUUCUCUCACGAGGGAACACCUGGCCCUUUUUACUGCUGAAUCCCAGCCGAAGCAGGUGCCCUGUUUUUUAAUGGGCCAAGUUGUGUGGGGGAAAAAAAAAAAAAAGACACGAUAAGAAAUAUCUGGGGGAGGAGUUCCCUGGUGACUCAGCAGCUUACAGAUCCAGUGUCAUCACUGCUGUGGCUCGGGUUCGAUCCCUGACUGGGGACCUUCCGCAUGCCACAGGCACCGCCACAAGAAACAGUGUGGGGAGAAGAAUGGGUUUAUGUACAUGUCACUGAAACCCUUUGCUGUACACCUGAAGCUCACACAACACUGUAAGUCAACUGUACUCUGAAAUAAAAUAAAAAUGAAUGCCUGGGGAGUGAGAGCAAAUGAGGACUGUUCUUGGGGUGAAAAGGGGACUUGAAUAACCCAGCUUGCUUUAUACUUCUGCUUGUCCCCUAAUUGUGUGCUUUAAAAAAAAAAUUCCUGAUUGUACAGAGAGGAGUUUAUGUUAUACUUUUAAAGAAUGAAACAUUCCUGAGUUGAUUUAGAAGGUUUGUGUUUGGGUUUCAGAUGGCUGUGAUUGCUACUUUGAUGUAUGAAUAGCCCACGUGAGUCUGGUGGGUUUUGUUUAGCUCCACCCGCGGCAGGUGCAAGUUCCUGGGCAGGGAUCAAACCCACGCCUCAGCAGUGACGCCUCAGCAGUGACGCCAUUGCAGUGACACUGGAUCCUUAACCCACUGCACCACAAGGGAACUCCAAGCUUGAUUUUUGUUCUUGUUCCUGCUGUGGUUUAUUCUGCUGAUAACAUUAUCAGUAGGUCUUAACCUUACCCAGAAUCAGCUGCUGGCUAAGCCGGCAUAAAUGUAAGCGCCACACCCUCGGCUCUGUAUCUUGGCACUUUCGUAGGAGUAAACGCAAAGAAGGAACCGUUAGACCUAAAAUUUGGAUGCCUAUUUUCACGUAACUCUUUCAGAUUGCGUCCCAGGAGGAAUUCCCAUUGUGGCACAGCGGGAACAAACCCGACUAGGAACCAUG